This is a non-coding RNA of Podarcis lilfordi (Lilford's wall lizard), 72 nucleotides long. The record is from the annotation of a GenBank genome assembly. Lineage: Eukaryota; Metazoa; Chordata; Lepidosauria; Squamata; Lacertidae.
GGGCCAUAACUCAGUGGCAGAGCUUUCUGUCUUGCAAGCAGAAGGUUCCAGGUUCAAUUCCUAGCAUCUCCA